GAAAGACGUAACGAUUGCCCCGCUGUCUCCAGUGUGGACUCAGUGAAAUUGAAUUCUCCGUGCAGAUGCGGAGUACGUGCCCCAAGACGAGAAGACCCUAUGCAGCUUUACUGUACAUUUGCAUUGACAACAUCAUCUGCAUGCGUAGGAAAGGUGGGAGUAAUGGGAGCUA
This 172-nucleotide ribosomal RNA is filed under the name Mantoniella antarctica. RNAcentral's name for it is "partial Bacterial large subunit ribosomal RNA". It matches the Rfam family "Bacterial large subunit ribosomal RNA", at positions 1994 to 2165 of the family's 2925-position model. The record is from RNAcentral. Lineage: Eukaryota; Viridiplantae; Chlorophyta; Mamiellophyceae; Mamiellales; Mamiellaceae.